RNAcentral lists this ribosomal RNA (375 nucleotides) under uncultured organism. RNAcentral describes it as "partial 16S ribosomal RNA". It matches the Rfam family "Bacterial small subunit ribosomal RNA", at positions 527 to 896 of the family's 1533-position model. The record is from RNAcentral.
GUAGGUGGCAAGCGUUGUCCGGAAUUAUUGGGCGUAAAGCGCGCGCAGGCGGUUCUUUAAGUCUGAUGUGAAAGCCCACGGCUCAACCGUGGAGGGUCAUUGGAAACUGGAGAACUUGAGUACAGAAGAGGAAAGCGGAAUUCCACGUGUAGCGGUGAAAUGCGUAGAGAUGUGGAGGAACACCAGUGGCGAAGGCGGCUUUCUGGUCUGUAACUGACGCUGAGGCGCGAAAGCGUGGGGAGCAAACAGGGAUCAGAUACCCUGGUAGUCCACGCCGUAAACGAUGAGUGCUAAGUGUUAGGGGGGUUUUCCGCCCCCCUUAGUGCUGCAGCUAACGCAUUAAGCACUCCGCCUGGGAGUACGGCCGCAAGGCUG